GGAGAGGUGGCUUAGCUGUUGAGAGCAUUGGCUGCUCUGCCAGAGGACCUGGGUUCAAUUCCCAGCAUCUCCA
This is a non-coding RNA of Mus musculus (house mouse), 73 nucleotides long. The record is from Rfam. NCBI's taxonomy places the organism in Eukaryota, Metazoa, Chordata, Mammalia, Rodentia, Muridae.